Molecule: ribosomal RNA, 236 nt
Filed under: uncultured bacterium
Lineage: Bacteria
Description: partial 16S ribosomal RNA
Rfam family: Bacterial small subunit ribosomal RNA
Source: RNAcentral
CGGACGGGUGAGUAACGCGUGGGUAACCGUGCCUUGUACAGGGGGAUAACAGUUGGAAACGGCUGCUAAUACCGCAUAAGCGCACGGCAUCGCAUGAUGCAGUGUGAAAAACUCCGGUGGUAUAAGAUGGACCCGCGUUGGAUUAGCUGGUUGGUGAGGUAACGGCCCACCAAGGCGACGAUCCAUAGCCGACCUGAGAGGGUGACCGGCCACAUUGGGACUGAGACACGGCCCAA